Long non-coding RNA from Physeter macrocephalus (sperm whale), 708 nucleotides. RefSeq lists it as uncharacterized. The transcript is spliced from 3 exons. Lineage: Eukaryota; Metazoa; Chordata; Mammalia; Artiodactyla; Physeteridae. The record is from RefSeq and is a predicted model, not a curated record.
AGGCCCCAUCAGUCAGCCUUCAGUUAAAACCAGAGAGAAUACCUGCUGUCUACAAAGCCUUCUCCUGGGCAAGGAAUAUCUAGAAGAACUAGGAGGACCUGACUUCAGAGAGCUUAAAAUUUUGCCAAACCAACUGAUAUCAUAGAGUGUGACAGAAAGCCGAGGUCUUGAGACAUUGUAAGCACUAUCCUCUGUACUCCCUCAACGUGGCCUCCAUGUGGCUGAAGCUGGGAAGAUUGUACAUGGGCCUGGAGAACAAAGCUGCUGGGGAGAGAGCUCUGAAGAAGGCCAUUGCCAUCAUGGAAGUAGCUCAUGGCAAAGACCAUCCAUACGUUUCUGAGAUCAAACAGGAAAUUGAAAGCCACUGAAACUAUGCUGACAUUUUAGUUUUUAUUUAGAUCCAAGUGCAGAAACCUUCGAGGAUUUGACUGUUUCAAAUCAUACACGUCAUGCCAACAUCUCUGUAAACUCAUUGGAAUGAAAACACGACUUGCACUUAACCUUACAAAUGGCUUACUUGGAUGUUGGUCUUAAUCUUUAACCUUAAUAUCAAAUUAAUUUUUGAAUGCUUUUUUUCCCUAAAAGAUAAUGGCAUGGUUUCAUAUAUUAUAAUAUACAUUUAAAAAUGCAGUUGUUUUUCCCUUCAUGCCCACUGUAAUGUUCUAAACAAACAUGAAUGAUGAAAGAGAAUUAAAAAAGAUAAUAGUA